UAGGGAAUCUUCCACAAUGGGCGAAAGCCUGAUGGAGCAACGCCGUGUGUGUGAUGAAGGGUUUCGGCUCGUAAAACACUGUUGUAAGAGAAGAAUGACAUUGAGAGUAACUGUUCAAUGUGUGACGGUAUCUUACCAGAAAGGAACGGCUAAAUACGUGCCAG
Molecule: ribosomal RNA, 164 nt
Filed under: uncultured bacterium
Lineage: Bacteria
Description: partial 16S ribosomal RNA
Rfam family: Bacterial small subunit ribosomal RNA
Source: RNAcentral